CCUACGGGGGACUGCAGUGAGGAAUAUUGGUCAAUGGACGAGAGUCUGAACCAGCCAAGUAGCGUGAAGGAUGACUGCCCUAUGGGUUGUAAACUUCUUUUAUAUGGGAAUAAAAUGUUCCACGUGUGGGAUUUUGUAUGUACCAUAUGAAUAAGGAUCGGCUAACUCCGUGCCAGCAGCCGCGGUAAUACGGAGGAUCCGAGCGUUAUCCGGAUUUAUUGGGUUUAAAGGGAGCGUAGGUGGAUUGUUAAGUCAGUUGUGAAAGUUUGCGGCUCAACCGUAAAAUUGCAGUUGAAACUGGCAGUCUUGAGUACAGUAGAGGUGGGCGGAAUUCGUGGUGUAGCGGUGAAAUGCUUAGAUAUCACGAAGAACUCCGAUUGCGAAGGCAGUUCACUGGACUGCAACUGACACUGAGGCUCGAAAGUGUGGCUAUCAAACAGGAUUAGAUACCCCAGUAGUC
This 460-nucleotide ribosomal RNA is filed under the name uncultured bacterium. RNAcentral describes it as "partial 16S ribosomal RNA". It matches the Rfam family "Bacterial small subunit ribosomal RNA", at positions 338 to 795 of the family's 1533-position model. The record is from RNAcentral.